RNAcentral lists this ribosomal RNA (443 nucleotides) under uncultured bacterium. RNAcentral's name for it is "bacterial SSU rRNA". It matches the Rfam family "Bacterial small subunit ribosomal RNA", at positions 8 to 451 of the family's 1533-position model. The record is from RNAcentral.
AGAGUUUGAUCCUGGCUCAGAUUGAACGCUGGCGGAAUGCUUUACACAUGCAAGUCGAACGGCAGCACGGGGGCAACCCUGGUGGCGAGUGGCGAACGGGUGAGUAAUACAUCGGAACGUGCCCAGUCGUGGGGGAUAACGCAGCGAAAGCUGUGCUAAUACCGCAUACGAUCUACGGAUGAAAGCGGGGGACUCGCAAGGGCCUCGCGCGAUUGGAGCGGCCGAUGGCAGAUUAGGUAGUUGGUGGGGUAAAGGCUCACCAAGCCUGCGAUCUGUAGCUGGUCUGAGAGGACGACCAGCCACACUGGGACUGAGACACGGCCCAGACUCCUACGGGAGGCAGCAGUGGGGAAUUUUGGACAAUGGGCGCAAGCCUGAUCCAGCCAUUCCGCGUGCAGGAUGAAGGCCUUCGGGUUGUAAACUGCUUUUGUACGGAACGAAAA